RNAcentral lists this unclassified non-coding RNA (758 nucleotides) under Hevea brasiliensis (rubber tree). Lineage: Eukaryota; Viridiplantae; Streptophyta; Magnoliopsida; Malpighiales; Euphorbiaceae. The record is from RNAcentral.
UUCGCAACUGGGUAGCUGAAAUCAAGGACCUCACUUAUGAUUCUGAGGAUAUCAUCGAUACCUUUCUUCUUAAAGCUGCAAGGGGCGGGGGAGAAGGUUUUCAUGGGUUCAUCAACAGGGCUUCCUUCAUGUUCACAAAGGCUUUUCAUCUACAUGAAGUAGAGACCCAGAUCAGAUCCGUCCGAGCUAAGAUUGGGGAUAUUUCUACCAGUAUGCAAACUUAUGGUAUCAAAUUUGUUGCUAAAGGAGAAGGGUACAGUUCUGCACGUGAGAUGCAACAACGACUAAGAAGAUCAUAUCCAUAUGAUGAUGAUGAGCAAGUUAUCAGCUUGGAUGCAAACAUGAGGGAUCUUAAAGAUCAGUUGAUGAUGGAAGAAAAGCAAGUACUGAUAGUUUCCAUAGUGGGCAUGGGAGGACUUGGAAAAACAACCCUUGCCAAGAAAGUGUGCAAUGACUCUUAUGUGAAGCAACAUUUUUAUAGCUAUUCUUGGGCCUUCCUAUUUCAAUAAUUCUCCACAAAGGAUGUUAUGGUUGAAAUUUUGAUGGAUGUUACAUCUAGCAAUGAUAAAUCAAAGUUAGAAAGAACAGAAGAAGAAAAAGUUUCGAAAUUCAAGUUGGAAAGAAUGAAGGAGGAACAAAAGUUCAAAUCUUUGUUCAAAAAGAUGGAAGAGGAAGACCUGGCUAAAACACUUUACAGUGUGUUGGAGGAGAAGCAUUACUUGGUGGUUCUGGAUGAUAUUUGGACAAAUGAGGCGCGG